AACUACGAGCCCCAGCUUAAAACCCAAAGGACUUGACGGUGUCCCACCCCACUAGAGGAGCCUGUUCUAUAACCGAUAAUCCACGCUAUACCCAACCAUUCCUUGCCUUUCAGCCUGUAUACCUCCGUCGCAAGCUUGCCGUGUGAAUGCAUAACAACAAGCCCAAUGGCCAAACGCCAGUACGUCAGGUCAAGGUGCAGCUCAUGAAAUGGAAGCCAAUGGGCUACAAUUUCUACCCUAGAAUAAACGAAAUACUACAUGAAACUAAGUCAUGAAGGCGGAUUUAGCAGUAAAUGGGGAACAGAGAGCCCCAUUUAACCCGGCCCUGGGACGCGUACAAACCGCCCGUCACCCU
RNAcentral lists this ribosomal RNA (355 nucleotides) under Theloderma rhododiscus (Chinese bubble-nest frog). Its description in RNAcentral is "partial 12S ribosomal RNA". It matches the Rfam family "Bacterial small subunit ribosomal RNA", at positions 878 to 1403 of the family's 1533-position model. Lineage: Eukaryota; Metazoa; Chordata; Amphibia; Anura; Rhacophoridae. The record is from RNAcentral.